CUACGGGUGGCUGCAGUGGGGAAUAUUGCACAAUGGACGAAAGUCUGAUGCAGCAACGCCGCGUGGAGGAUGACACUUUUCGGAGCGUAAACUCCUUUUAUAUCCCAAGAUAAUGACGGUAGGAUAUGAAUAAGCACCGGCUAACUCCGUGCCAGCAGCCGCGGUAAUACGGGGGGUGCAAGCGUUACUCGGAAUCACUGGGCGUAAAGAGCGUGUAGGCGGGUUUGUAAGUUGGAAGUGAAAUCCUAUGGCUCAACCAUAGAACUGCUUCCAAAACUGCUUACCUAGAAUAUGGGAGAGGUAGAUGGAAUUUCUGGUGUAGGGGUAAAAUCCGUAGAGAUCAGAAGGAAUACCGAUUGCGAAGGCGAUCUACUGGAACAUUAUUGACGCUGAGACGCGAAAGCGUGGGGAGCAAACAGGAUUAGAUACCCGGGUAGUC
RNAcentral lists this ribosomal RNA (439 nucleotides) under uncultured bacterium. RNAcentral's name for it is "partial 16S ribosomal RNA". It matches the Rfam family "Bacterial small subunit ribosomal RNA", at positions 339 to 795 of the family's 1533-position model. The record is from RNAcentral.